Telopea speciosissima is the source of this 567-nucleotide long non-coding RNA. RefSeq lists it as uncharacterized. Lineage: Eukaryota; Viridiplantae; Streptophyta; Magnoliopsida; Proteales; Proteaceae. The record is from RefSeq and is a predicted model, not a curated record. The transcript has 2 exons.
UUCCAACUGUUGGAUAAAGAGAACAUGAUCUCAUUUGCCACACUUCAAAUUUCAGAGCCUAAUUCUAUCAAAUACCAUUCUGUGUAUUGGUAUGCGUCCCCAUGUAUGUCCAUACACGUCUAUGGUAUUCUGACCACUACUGUGCACUCUCCCAUAGUCGUGGAUUUUCAAAGCUCUAUGUUGCCACUUGGAAAACUCCGAUUUGGCUGGAACUUGAUAUAUGAGCAGGGGACGUUGAGUUUACCUGUCCACAAAAUUUGGGCCCCAUCUGAACUGCUAUGUGGCAGAUAUUUGACAGUUAAGGAAAGGCUUCCUUAAUAAGUCACAAGGAAAACAUUCGCCCAUAUUUAUUAUGAAGGAAUUUUAACCUUCUAUAGAUUAUGUGAAAUACUGAAAUUACCAUUUUCGUUUAUCCUUUGGUUUAUCCAAGGGGGGGGGGCUGAUUAGUAAGCUGCGUAUGGAAUCAAAGCUGAUUGGGUGAAGUGGAGCUGUGCUUUUGGAGCUCUAAUGCAUAUAAAAAAAAUAAAAGGGGAGAAUUUAAUGUUGCACCUAAAUAAACAUAUCCAU